GAUGAACGCUGGCGGCGUGCCUAAUACAUGCAAGUCGAGCGAACAGACGAGGCGCUUGCUCCUCUGUCGUUAGCGGCGCACGGGUGAGUAACACGUGGAUACCCUACCUAUAAGACUGGGAUCACUUCGGGACACGGGAGCUAAUACCGGAUAAUAUACUGAACCGCAUGGGUCAAUAGUGAAAGACGGUUUUUCGGUCACUUCUAGAUGGAUCUCGGCCGCAUUAGCUAGUUGGGAAGGUCACGGCUUACCACGGCGACGCUGGGUAGCCGACCGCACAGGGUGGUCGGCCGCACGGGAGCGUGACCAGCCACCAUACGCCUACGAGAGGCAGCAGACUGGAAUCUGCCGCAAUAGGCGAAAACCUGACGGAACAACCCCACGUCAGUUAUAAAGGUCUUCCGUUCGUGAAGCUCUGUUAUGGGUGAAGAACAAAUUUGGAAGGAACUGAACACGUCUUGACGGUACCUAAUCAGAAAGCAACGGCUAACUACGUG
Molecule: ribosomal RNA, 497 nt
Filed under: uncultured bacterium
Lineage: Bacteria
Description: partial 16S ribosomal RNA
Rfam family: Bacterial small subunit ribosomal RNA
Source: RNAcentral